This 1380-nucleotide long non-coding RNA is filed under the name Carassius auratus (goldfish). RNAcentral's name for it is "lncRNA (ENSCARG00000003139.1)". The record is from RNAcentral. Lineage: Eukaryota; Metazoa; Chordata; Actinopteri; Cypriniformes; Cyprinidae.
AUGAACCGACCACCAAGGAACUCAGCAGACAGGAGGCAAUUCUGGUUAUCAUCAGCCAGCAAGCGGGAUGGUUAUGAGGGCUCUCGCCUAGUGGUGUUCCGGGGGACCAGGGGAGGUCGCUCCGGAGCAAGUGGUCGAGAGGAGGAGCCACAGAGGUCCCCCCCACCUACCCAGCUGCCAACGAUCCCUGAGGGUCGUGUCCUGGCCGUGGCAACCCUGGGGGAUCAGGCAAGCCCCUCCCAGAGUCCUGAGGUGCCCUCCACAGCCAGCAGUCUCCCCAUGAAACGAGGGAGACGGUUUUCAUGGGAGUCAACUUCUGAGUCUUCGGCGUCCGAGACUGCCCUGCCCGAGACCGAACUCUCCCAACCCGCCUCUGACCCAGCUGUGGCCUCUGCACCGCGCCCAAGGAGGAAGAGGAGGAAGAGGGGGCCUGCCGGUCCUGUGACCCUGUCUCCUCCCGUGCCAGCAGCGGAGAGCGCUGGCGUGCCCGUGCCAGCAGCGGAGAGCGCUGGCGUGCCCGUGCCAGCAGCCCAGAGCGCUGGCGUGCCCGUGCCAGCAGCGGUGAACGUGCCCGUGCCAGCAGCGGUGAACGUGCCCGUGCCAGCAGCGGUGAGCGCUGGCGUGCCCGUGCCAGCAGCGGAGAGCGCUGGCGUGCCCGUGCCAGCAGCGGAGAGCGCUGGCGUGCCCGAGCCAGCAGCAGUGAGCGUGCCCGAGUCAGCAGCGGUGAGCGCUGGCGUUCCCGAGCCGGCAAAGAAGAGGGCAGUAUGCAAGUCGGCAGUCGUGAGAGCACAGGAGAGUGCCGCGGCCGACUCUGCAGCAAAGAAUUUAGUACAGUGUGUCUCAUCUCGUAAGGAGAUGCCAAUUGUCUUAGCGGCUAAAGCCUUUUCAGAUUAUUUGUCUAGUCUUGUCCGUAUCCUAGAAGUCCCCGUCAGUCCUGUCUUGUCCUCAGACCCUGUCCCCAGAAAUCCCGAGUGUCCUGAUGUCGUCUCCCCGUGUCCCGUAGAUGUCGUAUCCCCGUGUCCCGUCAAUGUUGCCCCGUGUCCGGCUGAUGUAGUCAUGUAUCCUGUUGAUGUGGCCCCGUGUCCCGUAGAUGUCCCGUGUCCUGUUGUCCCCCCGUGUCCAGUAGAUGUUGCCCCGUGUCCCGUAGAUGUCCCGUGUCCAGUAGAUGUUGUCAUCCCGUGUCCAGCUGUGGUCCCCCCGUGUCCAGCUGUCGUCUCCCCGCGUCCCGUAAGUCUUGCCCCGCGUCCCGUAAGUGUUGCCCCGUGUCCCUUGUCUGCUCCUAUCAUGUCCCCUGUCAGUUGUCCCGAGACCCCUCCCCACCCCUCACCACCCAGACCUGCCCGUACCCCCCCGUCGUCAGCCUUCGUCCUGUCCUCCUAA